ACAAAUAUCCCCGGCGAAAUGAAGGCAGGAAUGGCAUUUUCAUGGGGUUUUAUGUGGAUGCGGAAUCUUUUGGAGGACAGAAGUAGCAGCUUUGACCUCUCUGAAGCAGUGGACUGCAGAGAAACUCAAAGGCCUUGUGGAGAUCUCUCAAGGUUUGAGACUUUAUCUGAACACAUGCUCAUCUCUGCACAGCACAACUCCACCACGGAUACAAAUUAUUUCGCAAAUUAAAAGCAACUGUGGUUAUAGAUGGAGACCGAUCACGUCCUCCCUGAACAGCCUCAGCCAAAACCUGAAAGGUUCCCACCCCUCCUCUGCUCAUGAACAGAGAGAUCCUGACUUCCCCUGAAGCUCAAAUCAGGAAACGUUUCAAAGGAGUGAAUGACAGGAGUCCCUCCACCCGGUUACCCCGACCGGUCUCUCCCUCAAUCUAAAGGAGGUGAUAUUGUAGCCCUUUUUCUCCCUUUCUGAAAGGGGAAAUCCCUGGGAUUGAGCUUGUGUGCUGGAGCGGAAGCAGGCUGGAAUGUGUGUCCAGGGCCGCGUCUUUUGUCGCCUGCCGGCGCCAUGAAUAGGCACAGGCCGCAAUCUCCCUGUCCUCUUGUUUAUCAGACUGUGAAGAAGUAAACAAACCCAAAUGUUUCUUCUGCAUGUUAUCGGCACCUUAUACCUGUCAAUCACUUCUUUAUUCCCUGUAAACCUGCAGCUUCUGUUUUAAUUAGCAUCCUCUUUGCUGUUCCCCAUUCAUGCUAAAUGUAGCCAAAGAGGACAGAUCAAGGGACUUUAUUCUUAGAUAAGUAAUAUUUCUGAUUUAUUUUCCUAUGUGUAAUCUCUCCAGAUUUAAUAUUGAUCUAGAAAAGUGUCGUGUUGAGUAGAGUUUGUCGUUAUGUUGAUUCUCAUCGUUGCCCGUUAGUGUCAGCUUGCCGCUCUAAACUCGUCCUAUAGACGAGGUCAAAUAGGGGCUUUUCAAACAAAUGGGAAAGCUUUCACGAGAUCCUCAAUUGACAUGAUGGCCGUAUUUCCCCAUCUAUUAUUACGAAUAUAGUGUGAUUUAUUGGAAGAUGUGCAGAAGUUUAAAGGAAGGUCGAGAGCGAGCUGUCAGGACUCUGAGACAUUUUCCGGCUCAUUGGGGACGAAAGCCUCGAUCAGGAUGUUUUUCCUCUGUCGUUGUCUUCUUCAUCGUUACAGCUGUUGGCAUUUUAGUGUGUAUUCACAUCCAUUCCACUGUUCGUAUUUUAGAGCGAUGGAUGUGUUCCUUCCCGCCAGCGCAUGUGAUUCUUUUUAUGAGAGGAUUAUCAGAUUUAUAUGUGUUAAUUGGCAGUAGGCAGCCACAGACACUCCUUUACUGUCUUGUGUAAUUCUCAGAUACAGAGCUAAAAAAAAAGCAAAAAGCUUUUCAAAACAUGAAGGAAGAAAAUUUCACUUUAACACUUUGUCAGCAACUGUAUCAGUUUAGCUUCAUAUGUUGAAGAUCCUGUUUAAGGAGUAAAGAGUAUAAGGGAUUUCAAAGUAAAUGUAACUGAAUAUUCUGAUCAUAAUAAAGCGUUUGACUUUAGAUCA
This is a long non-coding RNA of Perca flavescens (yellow perch), 1557 nucleotides long. RefSeq lists it as uncharacterized. Lineage: Eukaryota; Metazoa; Chordata; Actinopteri; Perciformes; Percidae. The transcript is spliced from 3 exons. The record is from RefSeq and is a predicted model, not a curated record.